RNAcentral lists this long non-coding RNA (1443 nucleotides) under Canis lupus familiaris (dog). RNAcentral's name for it is "lncRNA (ENSCAFG00845002593.1)". The record is from RNAcentral. Lineage: Eukaryota; Metazoa; Chordata; Mammalia; Carnivora; Canidae.
AUGAUAUUUGGUGGAAAGUGCUCUUUACACCUUGGCUCAUUUACAUUUCUCUGUUUCAGGAGCUGGAUGUUUGCUUUCACCAGUGGGAGUAUUUUUUUAAGGCCCAUCUGGCAUCCAAAGACAGACGCACAGCCUCCGUGUGACCUGUCACAUCAGCAUGGCUUCGGCAUGUGGUGCCGAUUGCGGGCUCACCAUCUCCUCUUCCCACACCUCGUGCCAGGUUUCUCCAGGAAAACCAUACCAGGCUGCCCUCCAUCAAGCAAUCCUUGGAUAUGCAAAUGCAGCAUCAAAAUGAUUUUUUUCCAUAUUUUGACAGAAUUUGAUGUUGUUGCAGUGAUAAGAUGUGACACAGAUUGCAGCAGGGCUUCAGGAACCUGCUCAUUGGGUACACUGAGGCCGUUCAGAUUUUAAAUGACUGUUUUUUGAGAAUCACCCUUAGAAAUAAAUAAAAAUUUGGAAACCAAAGACAGGGCAGUUACUGGGGUUUGGAUCUAAUAGAUCUAAUCCCAGGGUCACCAGGAUGCUGAAUCUGUGAAUUAUACUCUCAGAUCCUCAGUCUUCCCACCUGGAAAAUGAUGCUAAUAAGACAUAGGUCACAGAAAUGUUAUAAGGGUCAGCGGUCAGAGUGAAAACACCUGCCAGAACAUGGAGAGGACCUCAUAUGGUGGCCAGAACAUGGAGAGGACCUCAUAUGGUGGCCUACUACUACUAUAACUAUGACUAUGACUAACACCUGGGCUAUUCCUUUGGCAAAGUUAUUUGUCAAGCAGGUAUCAAGUGUUGUAGCGAUGCUGAGAUUAUGCCAAUAGCUGAGCUUUGUAGUCAUCUUAGAGGAGAAGGUAAUUGAGAUGCUUCUUUGAGGAGUCAUCACCAGAGAGUACCAGCAUAGAAUGAUGGACUGUACAUUCACUCAGCAUUUCCUCAACUCCUUCUGUGGAUGAGAUACUGUUCAGAGUGCUGAGGAUUGAGGAUAUAGAUUUGGAGGGAUCAGCAUUGACCCCUAGGAACUCAUAGUCUAAUAAUCUCCCAGAGGUUGAAAAACUCCAAGAGGUCAAAGGGUAGGGAGAGACAGACAAUUGCAUAGCCAUGGAAUGAGCAGCAAGAGGGGUUGUGUGUGCAAAUUUAUCAGGUUCAGUAAUCAGCAGAGAGAGAGAGAGAGAGAGAGAGAGAGAGAAACUGUGCAGGACAGUUCCAGGAGGCUUCGUGGUGGACCUGAGGUUUGGGUUGAGGCAUGAAAGAGAAGUAAGGGCAGUCUGGGUGGCUCAGCGGUGUAGCACUGCCUUCAGCCCAGGGCGUAAGCCUGGGGACAUGGGAUCGAGUCCCCCAUCGGGCUCCCUGCAUGGAGUCUGCUUCUCCCUCUGCCUGUGUCUCUGCCUCUCUCUGUGUGUCUCUAAUAAAUAAAUAAAAUCUUUAAAAAAAAAUAGAGAAGUAGGUUUGCUAGAC